This 800-nucleotide ribosomal RNA is filed under the name bacterium YCG17. RNAcentral's name for it is "bacterial SSU rRNA". It matches the Rfam family "Bacterial small subunit ribosomal RNA", at positions 48 to 894 of the family's 1533-position model. The record is from RNAcentral.
CUAAUACAUGCAAGUCGAACGAGAUCUUCGGAUCUAGUGGCGCACGGGUGCGUAACGCGUGGGAAUCUGCCCUUGGGUUCGGAAUAACUUCUGGAAACGGAAGCUAAUACCGGAUGAUGACGUAAGUCCAAAGAUUUAUCGCCCAAGGAUGAGCCCGCGUAGGAUUAGCUAGUUGGUGGGGUAAAGGCCCACCAAGGCGACGAUCCUUAGCUGGUCUGAGAGGAUGAUCACCCUCACUCGGACUGAGACACGGCCCAGACUCCUACGGGAGGCAGCAGUAGGGAAUAUUGGACAAUGGGGGCAACCCUGAUCCAGCAAUGCCGCGUGAGUGAUGAAGGCCUUAGGGUUCUAAAGCUCUUUUACCCGGGAUGAAAAUGAGAGUACCGGGAGAAUAAGCUCCGGCUAACUCCGUGCCAGCAGCCGCGGUAAUACGGAGGGAGCUAGGGUUGUUCGGAAUUACUGGGCGUAAAGCGCACGUAGGCGGCUAUUCAAGUCAGAGGUGAAAGCCCGGGGCUCAACCCCGGAACUGCCUUUGAAACUAGAUAGCUUGAAUCCAGGAGAGGUGAGUCGAAUUCCGAGUGUAGAGGUGAAAUUCGUAGAUAUUCGGAAGAACACCAGUGGCGAAGGCGGCUCACUGGACUGGUAUUGACGCUGAGGUGGGAAAGCGUGGGGAGCAAACAGGAUUAGAUACCCUGGUUGUCCACGCCGUAAACGAUGAUAACUAGCUGUCAGGGCACAUGGUGUUUUGGUGGCGCAGCUAACGCAUUAAGUUAUCCGCCUGGGGAGUACGGUCGCAAGAU